RNAcentral lists this long non-coding RNA (376 nucleotides) under Mus musculus (house mouse). RNAcentral describes it as "long non-coding RNA chr5:48924115-48924491". The record is from RNAcentral. Lineage: Eukaryota; Metazoa; Chordata; Mammalia; Rodentia; Muridae.
GUACACAUUUUCUGUAUCCAUUCCUCUGUUGAGGGGCAUCUGGGUUUUUUCCAGCUUCUGGCUAUUAUAAAUAAGGCUGCUAUGAACAUAGCGAGCAUGUGUCAUUCUUACCAGUUGGAACAUCUUCUGGAUAUAUACCCAGAAGAGGUAUUGCAGGAUCCUGUGGUAGUACUAUGUCCAAUUUUCUGAGGAACUGCCAGACUGAUUUCCAGAGUGGUUGUACAAGCUUGCAAUCCCACCAACAAUGGAGGAGUGUUCCUCUUUCUCCACAUCCUUGCCAGCAUCUGCUGUCACCUGAAUUUUGGAUCUUAGCCAUUCUGACUGGUGUGAGGUGGAAUCUCAGGGUUGUUUUGAUUUGCAUUUCCCUGAUGAUUAA